GACGAACGCUGGCGGCGUGCCUAACACAUGCAAGUCGAACGGAAAGGCCCUGCUUUUGUGGGGUGCUCGAGUGGCGAACGGGUGAGUAACACGUGAGUAACCUGCCCUUGACUUUGGGAUAACUUCAGGAAACUGGGGCUAAUACCGGAUAGGAGCUCCUGCUGCAUGGUGGGGGUUGGAAAGUUUCGGCGGUUGGGGAUGGACUCGCGGCUUAUCAGCUUGUUGGUGGGGUAGUGGCUUACCAAGGCUUUGACGGGUAGCCGGCCUGAGAGGGUGACCGGCCACAUUGGGACUGAGAGACGGCCCAGACUCCUACAGGAGGCAGCAGUGGGGAAUAUUGCACAAUGGGCGGAAGCCUGAUGCAGCAACGCCGCGUGCGGGAUGACGGCCUUCGGGUUGUAAACCGCUUUCGCCUGUGACGAAGCGUGAGUGACGGUAAUGAGUAAAGAAGCACCGGCUAACUACGUG
RNAcentral lists this ribosomal RNA (468 nucleotides) under uncultured bacterium. RNAcentral describes it as "partial 16S ribosomal RNA". It matches the Rfam family "Bacterial small subunit ribosomal RNA", at positions 28 to 507 of the family's 1533-position model. The record is from RNAcentral.